AUGGACACGUUGACUGCCCUGUUUCGUAAAGGGGAGCAAAGUAAUCUUUUCAAGCCGUUGUGCUGCUGGGGCAUCAAUCACCGCUUAUCGGUCUACGCUGACGAUGCAGUUUUGCUCAUUCGGCCUGAUGAGGUUGAAGCAGAGACAACCGUGCAAUUUCUGACUGCUUUUGGGCACGCCUCUGGAUUGUCUUGCAACAUGGCAAAAAGCUCCAUCUCGUUGAUCCGUUGCAGUCAGGACGACAUUCCUCAAGUGACUGCCAUCCUUGACUGCUCCAUCAAGGAAUUUCCUCUAACCUAUCUGGGGUUGCCGCUAUCCGUUACACGACUGCCCAAGUCUGCUCUCCAACCUCUUAUUGACAGAACUGCGGACUACUUACCCACCUGGAAAGCUCGCUAUCUCCGUCGGGCCGGGAGACUUGUCCUAAUCAACUCAACUCUAACUGCAGCUUCCAUCUACUUAAUGCUAGUGCUCGAUCUGCCGGCGUGGUUUAUCUCUUGCAUUGAUAAGAUCAGACGUGGUUUUUUCUGGUGUGGACAUAAUGAGGCUAAAGGUGGGAACUGCCUAAUCAACUAG
This 576-nucleotide ribosomal RNA is filed under the name Triticum aestivum (bread wheat). Its description in RNAcentral is "partial small subunit ribosomal RNA". The record is from RNAcentral. Lineage: Eukaryota; Viridiplantae; Streptophyta; Magnoliopsida; Poales; Poaceae.